GAUGAACGCUGGCGGCGUGCCUAAUACAUGCAAGUCGAGCGAACGGACGAGAAGCUUGCUUCUCUGAUGUUAGCGGCGGACGGGUGAGUAACACGUGGAUAACCUACCUAAGACUGGGAUAACUUCGGGAAACCGUAGCUAAUACCGGAUAAUAUUUUGAACCGCAUGGUUCAAAAGUGAAAGACGGUCUUGCUGUCACUUAUAGAUGGAUCCGCGCUGCAUUAGCUAGUUGGUAAGGUAACGGCUUACCAAGGCAACGAUGCAUAGCCGACCUGAGAGGGUGAUCGGCCACACUGGAACUGAGACACGGUCCAGACUCCUACGGGAGGCAGCAGUAGGGAAUCUUCCGCAAUGGGCGAAAGCCUGACGGAGCAACGCCGCGUGAGUGAUGAAGGUCUUCGGAUCGUAAAACUCUGUUAUUAGGGAAGAACAUAUGUGUAAGUAACUGUGCACAUCUUGACGGUACCUAAUCAGAAAGCCACGGCUAACUACGUG
Molecule: ribosomal RNA, 495 nt
Filed under: uncultured bacterium
Lineage: Bacteria
Description: partial 16S ribosomal RNA
Rfam family: Bacterial small subunit ribosomal RNA
Source: RNAcentral